This 200-nucleotide ribosomal RNA is filed under the name uncultured bacterium. Its description in RNAcentral is "partial 16S ribosomal RNA". It matches the Rfam family "Bacterial small subunit ribosomal RNA", at positions 30 to 257 of the family's 1533-position model. The record is from RNAcentral.
AUUGAACGCUGGCGGCAGGCCUAACACAUGCAAGUCGAGCGAGGUAGCAAUACCUAGCGGCGGACGGGUGAGUAACGCGUGGGAACGUACCCUUUGCUACUGAAUAGCCUCGGGAAACUGGGAGUAAUACCGUAUGUGCCCUUCGGGGAAAGAUUUAUCGGCAAAGGAUCGGCCCGCGUUGGAUUAGGUAGUUGGUGGGG